CACUUUGUGGUUCAUGACUGGGGUGAAGUCGUAACAAGGUAGCGCUAGGGGAACCUGGCGCUGGAUCACCUCCUUAUACGA
Molecule: ribosomal RNA, 81 nt
Filed under: Vibrio vulnificus
Lineage: Bacteria; Pseudomonadati; Pseudomonadota; Gammaproteobacteria; Vibrionales; Vibrionaceae
Description: partial 16S ribosomal RNA
Rfam family: Bacterial small subunit ribosomal RNA
Source: RNAcentral